This is an RNA transcript of Solanum stenotomum, 2081 nucleotides long. It is a transcript of the gene named heat shock factor protein HSF8-like, with no coding region annotated. The transcript has 3 exons. NCBI's taxonomy places the organism in Eukaryota, Viridiplantae, Streptophyta, Magnoliopsida, Solanales, Solanaceae. The record is from RefSeq and is a predicted model, not a curated record.
ACUACUUUCUCUUUCCACUUUCGUACCCAAUUGUCUUUCUCUCUCUAAAACUUAGUUUUUUUUCUUCUUCCAAUUUUCCGUUUCUAAUAUCCAAAACCCUCUGUAUUUGUAAAUUCAUAUAUGAUCAGCGUUGUGUUAAGCAAUUGAAAAUUUAAUUCCUUCGUUUAGCAAUGGGUUCUACUUCAAUGGACGCCGGAGGAAGUUCUCCGGUACCGGAACCAACACCGUCGCCGGUGGCUAGCGCAAAUACGCUACCACCUUUUUUGAUGAAGACUUAUGAUAUGGUUGAUGACCCGAGUACUGACAAGAUCGUUUCAUGGAGUCCUACCGACAGUAGCUUUGUGAUUUGGGAUCCACCGGAGUUCGCCAAGGAGUUACUGCCUAAGUAUUUCAAGCACAGUAACUUCUCCAGUUUCGUUCGUCAGCUGAACACUUAUGGCUUUAGAAAGGUUGGUUCGGACAACUGGAAAUUUUCUAAUGAUGGAUUCCUAAGAGGUCAAAAGCAUCUGCUUAAAAAUAUUAGCAGGCGCAAGCCUGCUCAUGGACAGAGUCAGCAGCAGCAGCAGCAACUGCAUGGUCAGAGUGCGUCGGUUGGGGCUUGUGUCGAAGUUGGAAAUUUUGGGCUUGAGAAAGAGGUUGAGUGGCUGAAGAGGGACAAGAAUGUGCUUAUGCAGGAGUUGGUUAAGCUGAGACAACAUCAGCAGACUACCGAUAAUCAGAUGCAAACCAUGGUGCAGAACCUUCAGAUUAUGGAGCAGCGGCAGCAACAGAUGAUGUCUUUCCUGGCAAAAGCUGUUAACAGCCCUGGAUUCUUGGCACAGUUUGUACAGCAGCAAAAUGACAACAAUAAGCGCAAGAUGGAAGGAAACAAGAAACGUAGGAUUAGACAGGAUAUUCCUUCAGAUGAUCAUUCUGUUAGCCCUGCUGAUGGACAACUUGUAAAGUACCAACCUAUAAUGAAUGAGGCAGCGAAAGGAAUGCUCAGGCAGAUACCGAAACUAGAUUCUUCUCCUAGGUUAGAGAACUUCAGCAACAGUCCUGAAAGUUCACCGAUUGGUGAUGCAUUCGAUGGCAGAAGUAACAAUCGGAUUUCAGGAGUCACUCUUCAGGAAGUUUCACCUGCUUUUUCGCAGCCAUUUGCAAGUGCAACUUCAGCUAUUGCAGGACAAAGUUCAUUGUCUGCCAACAUUCAGUUUUCAGAGAGCAGUUCCCUGGUUGGAGCUCAAGAUUUGCCACCUAUUUUACCAUUUUCGUCAGAUAUGAUUAUGCCUGUGCCCUCACAGUUAGAAGAAAUUGUGCCUGAAAACAAUAUGGAUAUUAAUGGAACAGAGAGGGGCCAUGAUUCUUUCAUGGAUCCCACAUUGUGGGGAAAUGGAGAAUUGCCAUUGGAAAAUGAUAUUUUCCCCCCCGACCUUCAAAUCAAGUGGGAAAGUGCUUUGAUUGACGAUAUUGGAGAGCCUCCUAGUGUGGGUGAUCCCUCCUGGGAAAAGUUUCUUCAAAGCCUAUACCCUACUGAGACAGAAGAGAUGGGCUCGGUUGAAAUAGAAAAUAUUAAGACUACUGAAGCAGAGCCGCUAGAAAAUGGAUGGUACAAUGUUCAGCACAUGGAAAAUCUUACUGAGCAAAUGGGGCUACUAACAUCAAACGCUAAAAAAGUAUGAUCAGUCACCGAAGAGAUGUACCUGAGGUAAUCCAGAAAUCUCAUCUCUUAGUCGAUUGGUUCACGGGAAACUUCCCAUAAGAUAGUAGAUCUAAUACCUAUUUUCACCUUUGUCACUGGAUUUCUUUUCAUUUAUGGAAAAGCUUCAUGAUUCAUCUGGAUAAGUCUUAUGGAGUUCACCUCCAUUUUUUUGUUUCUUCCUUGCAUAAAGCUGAAUCGAUCCACCAUGCUAAAUGCCUAAAUCUAUGUCGGACACUUCCUUUUUCCCUUUUUAAUUUCUCCCUGUAUAAGCUCUCUGGUCAUUUAAUAAGUACGUAAAAGUUACAGAACUUUUGAUGUUGUUAACAGGCAGAUGCCUUAACCCUUCUUUAUACUAGUCUGUUAGCAAGUAAUUUAAUACUAGAAUUAAUUAUAUUCUCAG